Molecule: transfer RNA, 72 nt
Rfam family: tRNA
About the family: Transfer RNA (tRNA) molecules are approximately 80 nucleotides in length. Their secondary structure includes four short double-helical elements and three loops (D, anti-codon, and T loops).
Source: Rfam
GGAUUUGUAGCUUAAUAGUAAAGCACUAUCUUGUCACGAUAGUAGAUGUCAGUGCGAUUCUGAUCAAAUUCG